Molecule: ribosomal RNA, 388 nt
Filed under: Biecheleriopsis sp.
Lineage: Eukaryota; Dinophyceae; Lophodiniales; Lophodiniaceae
Description: partial small subunit ribosomal RNA
Rfam family: Eukaryotic small subunit ribosomal RNA
Source: RNAcentral
AUUCCAGCUCCAAUAGCGUAUAUUAAAGUUGUUGCGGUUAAAAAGCUCGUAGUUGGAUUUCUGCUGAGGAUGACCGGUCCGCCCUCUGGGUGAGUAUCUGGCUCAGCCUUGGCAUCUUCCUGAAGAACGUAUCUGCACUUGACUGUGUGGUGCGGUAUUUAGGACAUUUACUUUGAGGAAAUUAGAGUGUUUCAAGCAAGCGCACGCCUUGAAUACAUUAGCAUGGAAUAAUAAGAUAGGACUAUGGUACUAUUUUGUUGGUUUGUGCACCAUGGUAAUGAUUAAUAGGGACAGUUGGGGGUAUUCGUAUUCCAUUGUCAGAGGUGAAAUUCUUGGAUUUAUGGAAGACGAACUACUGCGAAAGCAUUUACCAAGGAUGUUUUCAUUG